GAUGAACGCUGGCGGCGUGCCUAAUACAUGCAAGUCGAGCGAACAGACGAGGAGCUUGCUCCUCUGACGUUAGCGGCGGACGGGUGAGUAACACGUGGAUAACCUACCUAUAAGACUGGGAUAACUUCGGGAAACCGGAGCUAAUACCGGAUAAUAUAUUGAACCGCAUGGUUCAAUAGUGAAAGACGGUUUUGCUGUCUCUUAUAGAUGGAUCCGCGCCGCAUUAGCUAGUUGGUAAGGUAACGGCUUACCAAGGCAACGAUGCGUAGCCGACCUGAGAGAGUGAUCGGCCACACUGGAACUGAGACACGGUCCAGACUCCUACGGGAGGCAGCAGUAGGGAAUCUUCCGCAAUGGGCGAAAGCCUGACGGAGCAACGCCGCGUGAGUGAUGAAGGUCUUCGGAUCGUAAAACUCUGUUAUUAGGGAAGAACAAAUGUGUAAGUAACUAUGCACGUCUUGACGGUACCUAAUCAGAAAGCCACGGCUAACUACGUG
RNAcentral lists this ribosomal RNA (497 nucleotides) under uncultured bacterium. RNAcentral describes it as "partial 16S ribosomal RNA". It matches the Rfam family "Bacterial small subunit ribosomal RNA", at positions 28 to 507 of the family's 1533-position model. The record is from RNAcentral.